This 2775-nucleotide ribosomal RNA is filed under the name Enterobacter cloacae. RNAcentral's name for it is "bacterial LSU rRNA". It matches the Rfam family "Bacterial large subunit ribosomal RNA". Lineage: Bacteria; Pseudomonadati; Pseudomonadota; Gammaproteobacteria; Enterobacterales; Enterobacteriaceae. The record is from RNAcentral.
AGCGUACACGGUGGAUGCCCUGGCAGUCAGAGGCGAUGAAGGACGUGCUAAUCUGCGAAAAGCGCCGGCGAGGUGAUAUGAACCCUUGACCCGGCGAUGUCCGAAUGGGGAAACCCAGUGCAAUCCGUUGCACUAUCGUUAACUGAAUACAUAGGUUAACGAGGCGAACCGGGGGAACUGAAACAUCUAAGUACCCCGAGGAAAAGAAAUCAACCGAGAUUCCCCCAGUAGCGGCGAGCGAACGGGGAGCAGCCCGGAGUCUGAAUCAGCUUGUGUGUUAGUGGAACGGUCUGGAAAGUCCGACGGUACAGGGUGAUAGUCCCGUACACGAAAGCACACAUGCUGUGAACUCGAAGAGUAGGGCGGGACACGUGGUAUCCUGUCUGAAUAUGGGGGGACCAUCCUCCAAGGCUAAAUACUCCUGACUGACCGAUAGUGAACCAGUACCGUGAGGGAAAGGCGAAAAGAACCCCGGCGAGGGGAGUGAAAAAGAACCUGAAACCGUGUACGUACAAGCAGUGGGAGCCUCUUUAUGGGGUGACUGCGUACCUUUUGUAUAAUGGGUCAGCGACUUAUAUUCUGUAGCAAGGUUAACCGUAUAGGGGAGCCGAAGGGAAACCGAGUCUUAACUGGGCGUUAAGUUGCAGGGUAUAGACCCGAAACCCGGUGAUCUAGCCAUGGGCAGGUUGAAGGUUGGGUAACACUAACUGGAGGACCGAACCGACUAAUGUUGAAAAAUUAGCGGAUGACCUGUGGCUGGGGGUGAAAGGCCAAUCAAACCGGGAGAUAGCUGGUUCUCCCCGAAAGCUAUUUAGGUAGCGCCUCGUGAACUCAUCUUCGGGGGUAGAGCACUGUUUCGGCUAGGGGGCCAUCCCGGCUUACCAACCCGAUGCAAACUACGAAUACCGAAGAAUGUUAUCACGGGAGACACACGGCGGGUGCUAACGUCCGUCGUGAAGAGGGAAACAACCCAGACCGCCAGCUAAGGUCCCAAAGUCAUGGUUAAGUGGGAAACGAUGUGGGAAGGCACAGACAGCCAGGAUGUUGGCUUAGAAGCAGCCAUCAUUUAAAGAAAGCGUAAUAGCUCACUGGUCGAGUCGGCCUGCGCGGAAGAUGUAACGGGGCUAAACCAUGCACCGAAGCUGCGGCAGCGACACUUAUGUGUUGUUGGGUAGGGGAGCGUUCUGUAAGCCGUUGAAGGUGUGCUGUGAGGCAUGCUGGAGGUAUCAGAAGUGCGAAUGCUGACAUAAGUAACGAUAAAGCGGGUGAAAAGCCCGCUCGCCGGAAGACCAAGGGUUCCUGUCCAACGUUAAUCGGGGCAGGGUGAGUCGACCCCUAAGGCGAGGCCGAAAGGCGUAGUCGAUGGGAAACAGGUUAAUAUUCCUGUACUUGGUGUUACUGCGAAGGGGGGACGGAGAAGGCUAUGUCAGCCGGGCGACGGUUGUCCCGGUUUAAGCAUGUAGGCGGAGGUUCCAGGUAAAUCCGGUACCUUAUUAACGCUGAGGUGUGAUGACGAGGCACUACGGUGCUGAAGUGAUAAAUGCCCUGCUUCCAGGAAAAGCCUCUAAGCAUCAGGUAACACGAAAUCGUACCCCAAACCGACACAGGUGGUCAGGUAGAGAAUACCAAGGCGCUUGAGAGAACUCGGGUGAAGGAACUAGGCAAAAUGGUGCCGUAACUUCGGGAGAAGGCACGCUGAUAUGUAGGUGAAGCCCCUGCGGGCGGAGCUGAAAUCAGUCGAAGAUACCAGCUGGCUGCAACUGUUUAUUAAAAACACAGCACUGUGCAAACACGAAAGUGGACGUAUACGGUGUGACGCCUGCCCGGUGCCGGAAGGUUAAUUGAUGGGGUUAGCGGCAACGCGAAGCUCUUGAUCGAAGCCCCGGUAAACGGCGGCCGUAACUAUAACGGUCCUAAGGUAGCGAAAUUCCUUGUCGGGUAAGUUCCGACCUGCACGAAUGGCGUAAUGAUGGCCAGGCUGUCUCCACCCGAGACUCAGUGAAAUUGAACUCGCUGUGAAGAUGCAGUGUACCCGCGGCAAGACGGAAAGACCCCGUGAACCUUUACUAUAGCUUGACACUGAACACUGGUCCUUGAUGUGUAGGAUAGGUGGGAGGCUUUGAAGCGUGGACGCCAGUCUGCGUGGAGCCAACCUUGAAAUACCACCCUUUAAUGGCUGGUGUUCUAACGUAGACCCGUAAUCCGGGUUGCGGACAGUGUCUGGUGGGUAGUUUGACUGGGGCGGUCUCCUCCCAAAGAGUAACGGAGGAGCACGAAGGUUGGCUAAUCCUGGUCGGACAUCAGGAGGUUAGUGCAAUGGCAUAAGCCAGCUUGACUGCGAGCGUGACGGCGCGAGCAGGUGCGAAAGCAGGUCAUAGUGAUCCGGUGGUUCUGAAUGGAAGGGCCAUCGCUCAACGGAUAAAAGGUACUCCGGGGAUAACAGGCUGAUACCGCCCAAGAGUUCAUAUCGACGGCGGUGUUUGGCACCUCGAUGUCGGCUCAUCACAUCCUGGGGCUGAAGUAGGUCCCAAGGGUAUGGCUGUUCGCCAUUUAAAGUGGUACGCGAGCUGGGUUUAGAACGUCGUGAGACAGUUCGGUCCCUAUCUGCCGUGGGCGCUGGAGAAUUGAGGGGGGCUGCUCCUAGUACGAGAGGACCGGAGUGGACGCAUCACUGGUGUUCGGGUUGUCAUGCCAAUGGCACUGCCCGGUAGCUAAAUGCGGAAGAGAUAAGUGCUGAAAGCAUCUAAGCACGAAACUUGCCCCGAGAUGAGUUCU